This 1380-nucleotide ribosomal RNA is filed under the name uncultured bacterium. Its description in RNAcentral is "bacterial SSU rRNA". It matches the Rfam family "Bacterial small subunit ribosomal RNA", at positions 27 to 1398 of the family's 1533-position model. The record is from RNAcentral.
GAUUGAACGCUGGCGGUAUGCUUAACACAUGCAAGUCGAACGGAAACGAUACUAGCUUGCUAGUAGGCGUCGAGUGGCGGACGGGUGAGUAACGCGUAGGAAUCUGCCUGAUAGUGGGGGAUAGCCCGAAGAAAUUCGGAUUAAUACCGCAUAAUCUAUUCGUAGUAAAGUGGGGGACUUUCGAGCCUCACGCUAUCAGAUGAGCCUGCGUAAGAUUAGCUUGUUGGUAGGGUAAAAGCCUACCAAGGCGACGAUCUUUAGCUGGUCUGAGAGGAUGAUCAGCCACAUCGGGACUGAGACACGGCCCGAACUCCUACGGGAGGCAGCAGUGGGGAAUAUUGGACAAUGGGGGCAACCCUGAUCCAGCAAUACCGCGUGUGUGAAGAAGGCCUGAGGGUUGUAAAGCACUUUCAAUUGUGAAGAAAAGUUAGCGGUUAAUAACCGUUAGCCUUGACGUUAACUUUAGAAGAAGCACCGGCUAACUCCGUGCCAGCAGCCGCGGUAAUACGGAGGGUGCAAGCGUUAAUCGGAAUUACUGGGCGUAAAGCGUGCGUAGGCGGUUUAUUAAGUCAGAUGUGAAAGCCCCGGGCUUAACCUGGGAACUGCAUUUGAAACUGGUCAACUAGAGUAUGGUAGAGGAAAGUGGAAUUUCUGGUGUAGCGGUGAAAUGCGUAGAUAUCAGAAGGAACAUCAAUGGCGAAGGCAGCUUUCUGGACCAAUACUGACGCUGAGGUACGAAAGCGUGGGUAGCAAACAGGAUUAGAUACCCUGGUAGUCCACGCCGUAAACGAUGAUAACUAGCCGUUGGGGGGAUUUACCCUUUAGUGGCGAAGCUAACGCGUUAAGUUAUCCGCCUGGGGAGUACGGCCGCAAGGUUAAAACUCAAAGGAAUUGACGGGGACCCGCACAAGCGGUGGAGCAUGUGGUUUAAUUCGAUGCAACGCGAAGAACCUUACCUGGUCUUGACAUCCUGCGAACUUUCUAGAAAUAGAUUGGUGCCUUCGGGAACGCAGUGACAGGUGCUGCAUGGCUGUCGUCAGCUCGUGUCGUGAGAUGUUGGGUUAAGUCCCGUAACGAGCGCAACCCCUAUCCUUAUUUGCCAGCACAUCAUGGUGGGAACUAUAAGGAGACUGCCGGUGAUAAACCGGAGGAAGGCGGGGACGACGUCAAGUCAUCAUGGCCCUUACGACCAGGGCUACACACGUGCUACAAUGGGAAGGACAAAGAGCCGCGAAGCCGCGAGGUGUAGCUAAUCUCAUAAACCUUUUCGUAGUCCGGAUUGGAGUCUGCAACUCGACUCCAUGAAGUCGGAAUCGCUAGUAAUCGUAGAUCAGAAUGCUACGGUGAAUACGUUCCCGGGUCUUGUACUCACCGCCCGUC